ACGAACGCUGGCGGCGUGCCUAAUACAUGCAAGUAGAACGCUGAAGAGAGGAGCUUGCUCUUCUUGGAUGAGUUGCGAACGGGUGAGUAACGCGUAGGUAACCUGCCUUGUAGCGGGGGAUAACUAUUGGAAACGAUAGCUAAUACCGCAUAACAAUGGAUGACACAUGUCAUUUAUUUGAAAGGGGCAAUUGCUCCACUACAAGAUGGACCUGCGUUGUAUUAGCUAGUAGGUGAGGUAAUGGCUCACCUAGGCGACGAUACAUAGCCGACCUGAGAGGGUGAUCGGCCACACUGGGACUGAGACACGGCCCAGACUCCUACGGGAGGCAGCAGUAGGGAAUCUUCGGCAAUGGGGGCAACCCUGACCGAGCAACGCCGCGUGAGCGAAGAAGGUUUUCGGAUCGUAAAGCUCUGUUGUAAGUCAAGAACGGGUGUGAGAGUGGAAAGUUCACACUGUGACGGUAGCUUACCAGAAAGGGACGGCUAACUACGUG
RNAcentral lists this ribosomal RNA (496 nucleotides) under uncultured Streptococcus sp. RNAcentral describes it as "bacterial SSU rRNA". It matches the Rfam family "Bacterial small subunit ribosomal RNA", at positions 29 to 507 of the family's 1533-position model. Lineage: Bacteria; Bacillati; Bacillota; Bacilli; Lactobacillales; Streptococcaceae. The record is from RNAcentral.